GCCUCAGUAACGGCGAGUGAAGCGGCAAAAGCUCAAAUUUGAAAUCUGAGGCUUUCAGCCCCCGAGUUGUAAUUUGAAGAUGGUGUUCUGGCGCCGGCCCCCUGUCUACGUUCCUUGGAACAGGACAUCACAGAGGGUGAGAAUCCCGUCUGGCGGGGCGGCCUGGCUCCGUGUAGAGCGCCAUCGACGAGUCGAGUUGUUUGGGAAUGCAGCUCUAAGUGGGUGGUAAAUUCCAUCUAAAGCUAAAUAUUGGCGAGAGACCGAUAGCGAACAAGUACAGUGAUGGAAAGAUGAAAAGAACUUUGAAAAGAGAGUGAAAAAGUACGUGAAAUUGUUGAAAGGGAAGGGUAUUGGAUCAGACUUGGUGCUGUGCGAAUAGCGGCUCUUCUUGGGCCGCCCACUCGCACUCCACCGGGCCAGCAUCGGUUUGGGCGGCAAGACAAUGGCGGGGGAACGUGGCACUGCUCUCGGGCAGUGUGUUUAUAGCCCCCGCUGAUGUUGCCUGCCUAGACCGAGGACUGCGGCUUCUGCCUAGGAUGCUGGCGUAAUGAUCCAACACCGCCCGUCUUGAAACAUGGACCAAGGAGUCUAACGUCUAUGCGAGUGUUUGGGUGUAAAACCCGUACGCGUAAUGAAAGUGAACGUAGGUGAGGGCCCUU
RNAcentral lists this ribosomal RNA (659 nucleotides) under Williopsis jadinii. Its description in RNAcentral is "Cyberlindnera jadinii partial large subunit ribosomal RNA". It matches the Rfam family "Eukaryotic large subunit ribosomal RNA", at positions 77 to 746 of the family's 3401-position model. Lineage: Eukaryota; Fungi; Ascomycota; Saccharomycetes; Phaffomycetales; Wickerhamomycetaceae. The record is from RNAcentral.